UGGGGAAUUUUGGACAAUGGGCGAAAGCCUGAUCCAGCAAUGCCGCGUGUGUGAAGAAGGCCUUCGGGUUGUAAAGCACUUUUGUCCGGAAAGAAAUCCUCUGGGUUAAUACCUCGGGGGGAUGACGGUACCGGAAGAAUAAGCACCGGCUAACUACGUGCCAGCAGCCGCGGUAAUACGUAGGGUGCAAGCGUUAAUCGGAAUUACUGGGCGUAAAGCGUGCGCAGGCGGUUUUGUAAGACGGAUGUGAAAUCCCCGGGCUUAACCUGGGAACUGCAUUCGUGACUGCAAGGCUAGAGUAUGGCAGAGGGGGGUAGAAUUCCACGUGUAGCAGUGAAAUGCGUAGAGAUGUGGAGGAAUACCGAUGGCGAAGGCAGCCCCCUGGGCCAAUACUGACGCUCAUGCACGAAAGCGUGGGGAGCAAACAGGAUUAGAUACCCUGGUAGUCCACGCCCUAAACGAUGUCAACUAGUUGUUGGGGAUUCAUUUCCUUAGUAACGUAGCUAACGCGUGAAGUUGACCGCCUGGGGGAGUAC
This 536-nucleotide ribosomal RNA is filed under the name uncultured bacterium. RNAcentral describes it as "partial 16S ribosomal RNA". It matches the Rfam family "Bacterial small subunit ribosomal RNA", at positions 355 to 883 of the family's 1533-position model. The record is from RNAcentral.